This 2787-nucleotide ribosomal RNA is filed under the name Escherichia coli. RNAcentral's name for it is "bacterial LSU rRNA". It matches the Rfam family "Bacterial large subunit ribosomal RNA". The record is from RNAcentral. Lineage: Bacteria; Pseudomonadati; Pseudomonadota; Gammaproteobacteria; Enterobacterales; Enterobacteriaceae.
AGCGUACACGGUGGAUGCCCUGGCAGUCAGAGGCGAUGAAGGACGUGCUAAUCUGCGAUAAGCGUCGGUAAGGUGAUAUGAACCGUUAUAACCGGCGAUUUCCGAAUGGGGAAACCCAGUGUGAUUCGUCACACUAUCAUUAACUGAAUCCAUAGGUUAAUGAGGCGAACCGGGGGAACUGAAACAUCUAAGUACCCCGAGGAAAAGAAAUCAACCGAGAUUCCCCCAGUAGCGGCGAGCGAACGGGGAGCAGCCCAGAGCCUGAAUCAGUGUGUGUGUUAGUGGAAGCGUCUGGAAAGGCGCGCGAUACAGGGUGACAGCCCCGUACACAAAAAUGCACAUACUGUGAGCUCGAUGAGUAGGGCGGGACACGUGGUAUCCUGUCUGAAUAUGGGGGGACCAUCCUCCAAGGCUAAAUACUCCUGACUGACCGAUAGUGAACCAGUACCGUGAGGGAAAGGCGAAAAGAACCCCGGCGAGGGGAGUGAAAAAGAACCUGAAACCGUGUACGUACAAGCAGUGGGAGCACGCUUAGGCGUGUGACUGCGUACCUUUUGUAUAAUGGGUCAGCGACUUAUAUUCUGUAGCAAGGUUAACCGAAUAGGGGAGCCGAAGGGAAACCGAGUCUUAACUGGGCGUUAAGUUGCAGGGUAUAGACCCGAAACCCGGUGAUCUAGCCAUGGGCAGGUUGAAGGUUGGGUAACACUAACUGGAGGACCGAACCGACUAAUGUUGAAAAAUUAGCGGAUGACUUGUGGCUGGGGGUGAAAGGCCAAUCAAACCGGGAGAUAGCUGGUUCUCCCCGAAAGCUAUUUAGGUAGCGCCUCGUGAAUUCAUCUCCGGGGGUAGAGCACUGUUUCGGCAAGGGGGUCAUCCCGACUUACCAACCCGAUGCAAACUGCGAAUACCGGAGAAUGUUAUCACGGGAGACACACGGCGGGUGCUAACGUCCGUCGUGAAGAGGGAAACAACCCAGACCGCCAGCUAAGGUCCCAAAGUCAUGGUUAAGUGGGAAACGAUGUGGGAAGGCCCAGACAGCCAGGAUGUUGGCUUAGAAGCAGCCAUCAUUUAAAGAAAGCGUAAUAGCUCACUGGUCGAGUCGGCCUGCGCGGAAGAUGUAACGGGGCUAAACCAUGCACCGAAGCUGCGGCAGCGACGCUGAUGCGUUGUUGGGUAGGGGAGCGUUCUGUAAGCCUGUGAAGGUGUGCUGUGAGGCAUGCUGGAGGUAUCAGAAGUGCGAAUGCUGACAUAAGUAACGAUAAAGCGGGUGAAAAGCCCGCUCGCCGGAAGACCAAGGGUUCCUGUCCAACGUUAAUCGGGGCAGGGUGAGUCGACCCCUAAGGCGAGGCCGAAAGGCGUAGUCGAUGGGAAACAGGUUAAUAUUCCUGUACUUGGUGUUACUGCGAAGGGGGGACGGAGAAGGCUAUGUUGGCCGGGCGACGGUUGUCCCGGUUUAAGCGUGUAGGCUGGUUUUCCAGGCAAAUCCGGAAAAUCAAGGCUGAGGCGUGAUGACGAGGCACUACGGUGCUGAAGCAACAAAUGCCCUGCUUCCAGGAAAAGCCUCUAAGCAUCAGGUAACAUCAAAUCGUACCCCAAACCGACACAGGUGGUCAGGUAGAGAAUACCAAGGCGCUUGAGAGAACUCGGGUGAAGGAACUAGGCAAAAUGGUGCCGUAACUUCGGGAGAAGGCACGCUGAUAUGUAGGUGAAGUCCCUCGCGGAUGGAGCUGAAAUCAGUCGAAGAUACCAGCUGGCUGCAACUGUUUAUUAAAAACACAGCACUGUGCAAACACGAAAGUGGACGUAUACGGUGUGACGCCUGCCCGGUGCCGGAAGGUUAAUUGAUGGGGUUAGCGCAAGCGAAGCUCUUGAUCGAAGCCCCGGUAAACGGCGGCCGUAACUAUAACGGUCCUAAGGUAGCGAAAUUCCUUGUCGGGUAAGUUCCGACCUGCACGAAUGGCGUAAUGAUGGCCAGGCUGUCUCCACCCGAGACUCAGUGAAAUUGAACUCGCUGUGAAGAUGCAGUGUACCCGCGGCAAGACGGAAAGACCCCGUGAACCUUUACUAUAGCUUGACACUGAACAUUGAGCCUUGAUGUGUAGGAUAGGUGGGAGGCUUUGAAGUGUGGACGCCAGUCUGCAUGGAGCCGACCUUGAAAUACCACCCUUUAAUGUUUGAUGUUCUAACGUUGACCCGUAAUCCGGGUUGCGGACAGUGUCUGGUGGGUAGUUUGACUGGGGCGGUCUCCUCCUAAAGAGUAACGGAGGAGCACGAAGGUUGGCUAAUCCUGGUCGGACAUCAGGAGGUUAGUGCAAUGGCAUAAGCCAGCUUGACUGCGAGCGUGACGGCGCGAGCAGGUGCGAAAGCAGGUCAUAGUGAUCCGGUGGUUCUGAAUGGAAGGGCCAUCGCUCAACGGAUAAAAGGUACUCCGGGGAUAACAGGCUGAUACCGCCCAAGAGUUCAUAUCGACGGCGGUGUUUGGCACCUCGAUGUCGGCUCAUCACAUCCUGGGGCUGAAGUAGGUCCCAAGGGUAUGGCUGUUCGCCAUUUAAAGUGGUACGCGAGCUGGGUUUAGAACGUCGUGAGACAGUUCGGUCCCUAUCUGCCGUGGGCGCUGGAGAACUGAGGGGGGCUGCUCCUAGUACGAGAGGACCGGAGUGGACGCAUCACUGGUGUUCGGGUUGUCAUGCCAAUGGCACUGCCCGGUAGCUAAAUGCGGAAGAGAUAAGUGCUGAAAGCAUCUAAGCACGAAACUUGCCCCGAGAUGAGUUCUCCCUGACUCCUUGA